Molecule: non-coding RNA, 2684 nt
Organism: Chelonoidis abingdonii (Abingdon island giant tortoise)
Lineage: Eukaryota; Metazoa; Chordata; Testudines; Testudinidae
Source: RefSeq, a predicted model, not a curated record
ACAUAGGGAAAGUGCGAAAGAGAGACAAUUCCUGGGGGGCGGGGGCCAUCUCCAUUGCCCUCUCACGUUUAUUUUUUCUUUAAUCUGGGUAAUGAGAUAAGGAACAGGAGAACCUUUUUUAAGAAGUGUGAAGCAGCCUAUUAAUGCUUCACCUGAGCACUGAGCUUCCUGGAGCUUUACUUGUGCAAGUGGAUUUGGAGCUCGCCAGAAUUUUUUGGAAAGAUACUACAUGAUUUAAAAUAUAAAAACAUAACUGCUUGCAUUGUUUAUUUGGUCUUGAAUAAGGCCUGGCCUGUACACAGUUUUUGCACUUGAAGGUUUAGGAUAAUUUAGUUCCUGCCUCCUCUCCAAAUUACCUGGAAACUCAAAAGACUUCUAUUUUGUAAUUCAGUUAAUUCACCCAUAUUUAAACUGAUUGUGAUAGCCAGGAAAUUCCAAAGUUUUCCAUGUGAUGAAAUCAUGCUUGCCUGUUAAAUUUAUUAGGCAGUAGACCCUCAGUUGUUGUACCUUGGCAUAGCUCACUGCUUGCACCCUCCCUUUAAAAAGGGUGAACAACAAUCUUCUCAAACUCUUAUCAUACCACACCACUCUUCUUUUCUCUGCCCAGCCCCACUUAGUGGCUGGAAGGCUGCCUGUCUCCUCUCUCUGGCAGUCAGAUUUCCUCUGCUCUGAGUGGGCAUGACUUCAGACACAUACUCUGAAAUGGCAGGUGGGAUGGUGACUGGAUCAAAGACCAACCCCUGCCUUAGAUCAGCAGGGGGAGGUGGUUCUCAAACCUUCCAUAGUGUGGACCACAUCUUAAUACAAAGAUGAUCUCAUGGACAACUCUCUUCACAUUCAUGACACUCAGACCAGUCUUCCCUCCCAUUUGGAAUCACAUGCCAUCCCUGAAUAGCUUUAAGCAGUACAAUACAAGUAUUAGCUAACAGAGGUUUGCACAAGAUGCAAAGUGUAGAUCUAGAUUAAAAAACUUUCCCACAGUUCAAGGUUGUUCAGCAUUUGGGUUUGGGCCCAUCUCUUUUAACUGGAAGAGCAGACUACUUACUGUACAUCACCUAGAUCAAUGGUGAAUUAGGCAUCAAAACCAGAUCUACUAGAUUUAUUUAGCAUGAGAGUUUGGUCAUAGAAGUUGUGUGUCACCUUUGUGACCUAAUACUGAAGCAACCUAAGGUGAAAUCCUAUUGAAGUCAAUAGGAGUUUUGUCAUUGACUUCAGUGAGACCAGGAUUUUACCCUGGAAUUCCAGUACUUUCUGCUAACCUGGAUGAAUCCCUGGAUCCCUUGCCAUUCCGCCAAGAAAUCAAGGAGUUAGAGACUUCAGUGGCAGCAUCAAAUAUAUAUAUUUUGACCAAUGUACCUUCCAUGUGAAGAAUCUGGAAGGAUGUAUGGGUAUAACUAACACAGCUGAAACUAUGAGGCUAAAAAUACAGAAGAAAAAGAACAUCCAGCUGGAGUCCUCAUUUUAAAGUGCAGGUAUACUUUGAAAGGGGACUCUGUAAAAGUGGCAUCAUAGAGGUUUAUGUUUUUGGCGGGGGGGUUGUCUCUUAAAUAGUGCAGACCUAAAUUUACUCAGUUUAAAACUUUUUUUUUUUUUUUUUUUUUUUUACUAACUGCUCUGCACACGCCUUAUGAUGUGAAAGUCAACCUGUACAGUACUUUUUUAGCUCAUACCUCAACACCUUAAUGGAAAUUCUGCCAUCAGAAGACAGUAAAAAGUUCUGUUGUUGAUGCAUGAGAUAGAAUAGAAUGCAACUCAGUCUUCGAUGAUCAUAUUGACUCUGCAGUACUAAGUGGAGUAAAAAGUACAGGUGAGUGGCAUCAUACGUGCAUUUAACUUAACGCGAAUUCAACUAUACACCUUCGGCAAAAAAAAGAAAAACAAGAUACCUGUAAAUAGUCCAAGUGAUUCCACCCACCAUUCCACUCAAUGAGCAUAUGCCCCGGAGUGAGCGUGAGAUGGAAUACGUGAAUCUGUUAUUCCCUCUGUUGGUCUCAGUUCCCACGUGUCUCUCAUAGUGUGAGCAUCUUGCCACACUGAGUAUGAUUCUAGUGUUUAAAGAUACGUAUUUUUCAUACAACAUGGCCCCUAAACGCAAGCCAACUACAUCCGGUGCUCAACCGAAGAAACAGCGAUCUGUUCCAACGCUGGAGGAAAAACUGACUGUGUUGUACUUAUUGAGAGACGGCGUGUCGGUCUCCAACAUGGCACAUAAAUAUAGCCACAACGAAUCUAGCAUCCGUGCCAUCAAGAUUCGAGAGAGAGAAAUUCGUCAAGCCAUGGCAUCAAGUGCUCCAAUAACUGCUAAGGUGACGAACCAAGUGCAUGAUAAGACUUUAGUGAAGACUGAAAAAGCAUUAAACUUAUGGCUGAAAGACAUGAACCGUAAAUGUGUGCCUAUGGAUGGCAACAUGUUGUAAGAAAAGACUCAGCCUCUACACGCUGUUCAAACCUCCCACUGAAGAGGGACAGCCUUCUGAUGAGAAGGAAUUCAAAGCCAGCCAAGGUUAGCUUAACAGUUUUAGGAACUGCUUCAACUUCAAAAACAUGCAGACUACUGGUGAAGCUGCAUCUGCCAAUGAAGAGGCAGCAAAAGCCUACCCUGAACAAUUAAAGAAAAUCAUAGAAGAAAAGGGCUAUCUUCUGGCUUUUUAAUGCUGACAAGAGUGGGCUCUUCCGGAAAAAAA